RNAcentral lists this long non-coding RNA (1546 nucleotides) under Anser brachyrhynchus (Pink-footed goose). RNAcentral describes it as "lncRNA (ENSABRG00000016091.1)". Lineage: Eukaryota; Metazoa; Chordata; Aves; Anseriformes; Anatidae. The record is from RNAcentral.
UGUGUGAGAAGGGCGGCCAUCUUCUCCAUUUGCCAGCAGUCUCAGGCCGCAGUCCUGAGUGUCUGUCCUGUUUGUUUUUGUAUAAACCUGCCCAGCACCUUGAGAUCUCUGAGGCCAACUAGUGCUUUGAGAUCAUUAGGAGCAUGGUCACAGAAUCACAGAAUAUCCCAAGUUGGAAAGGACCCAUGAAGACCAUUGAGUCCAACUCCUGACUCCACACAGGACUACCUAAAAAUUAAAUCACAUGUCUAAGCUCAUUGCCCAAAUGCUUCUUGAACUUUGGCAGAUCUCUCUGCAAGGCCUUUCCACCUUCUAGGGAGUCAACAGCUGCUCCUAAUGUAGUAUCAUCUGCAAACUUAGUGGUCAAGACCAGGUGACGGCCUUGCUCUGCAGCAGCCAAAAACUGUCUACAUGGCCAGGCCAGUCUGGAACAAAUGGAGGUGGCCGGCCAGCCCGAGCUUCCUGCAGGUGGCCUACGCAGAUAUGAGGAACUGCUGUGCAUCGCUUCUUCAGGCCAGUAAAAAGGAUUUUUUUUUUUCUUCAUAAUGGUUGAUGGACUGACCAAACUCAGAUUUGCUAGAAAAAAACUUUUUUUUCCUCUUGCUUUGGAUCCUAGAUUUAUUCCUACAGUGCUUUAGAAUUGUAUUAUAUAGAGGAAAAUCAAUGGAAAUACUUGAGCAACAGGUUUGUUAUAAAGAAAUAGGGUACUCUAUUUCUUUCCCAGUCUUGCUGUGGAAUGAAUGUCAUAUUUCCUGAAAACUAAAUAUAGUGAUGUGCACUGAAUACCAAUGAAUGUGCAGAUUUCUGAGUGAAAUUGUUACAAACAGAUCUUUGGGAAUCAUGCACGGCUUCAAUGAGGAUCUUAAAUUGUCAAACACAUCUGAAAUAUUGCAGAAAAUUUAAAGAAAGUGGUCAGAAAUGUUAUGUGUGUUUUGUAUUUCUGUGAACAUUUUGAAGGGUGAGGAGUCAGCAGUGUUUAAAUAGCAAGUGUCCUGCUUGGGAUAGUGCGGAAUGUCUGCUCAAGCCAGAAUUAUGGCUUAGAAAACUCCUGUCUUUCCUGAAAAUGCUCUUAUCAGGACCUUGCUUUGAUCUCCGUGCUUCAUGGCUUUGCAGGGAUGACUGAGAUAUUAUUAGCUGUUGAGAUAAGAAGCCCAGUUUCUUUCUACAACACUAUUGUUCUUCAUCUCUGCUAUCUUAAAGAGCACCGUUCAGCUAAAUAUAGCAGCAGUGGUGCCUAACCUCAGGGGUUUAACCAGAGCGUGUGUGAAUGUUAGAAAGGAGCAAUCCUACUCUGAGUUUUGCUAGCAAAUGUGCCUGGAGGAGGUGUUGGAGAUGGUGGGGGUAAGGCUGGGGAAGUACCUAGCUCAGGAUACAUUAGAAAGAGAUGUGGUUUAAGUUGUCCAUCCUCUGACAGGGAGUGGGAGUCUCUGACAAGCCACUGGGAGAGGGAACUUCUGUGUGAAUUUGUAAGGGGACAGGGUCUGCUCUGUUAUUUCAGCAGGUAGGUGAAGCCGAACUCAAGCUUAGAGUGAGGCCAGCAGCCUGG